RNAcentral lists this small RNA (164 nucleotides) under Pilibacter termitis. Its description in RNAcentral is "Magnesium sequence". It matches the Rfam family "M-box riboswitch aptamer (ykoK leader)". Rfam says of the family: M-box riboswitch, also know as ykoK leader is described as a metaloregulatory RNA that sense divalent metals and function as a genetic control element of genes related to divalent metal transport in bacteria. It was first reported upstream of the B.subtilis ykoK gene and genes with related functions in other bacteria. Phylogenetic analysis of the distribution of M-box RNAs across bacterial genomes revealed that M-box riboswitches are most often employed for the regulation of Mg2+ transporter genes Lineage: Bacteria; Bacillati; Bacillota; Bacilli; Lactobacillales; Enterococcaceae. The record is from Rfam by way of RNAcentral.
GAUAAUAAUUGUUAGGUGAGGCUUCUGUCGGAACAUAGGCUAUCGCCCAGAAAUGUCGAGAGACGCCAAUGGGCAGAACAGAGAUUGUCGUUAAGGCAUUCUUUAGAAUAGCUUGGAAAACCAUACGUCCGUCACGUGCCAAAGCUCAACGAACGAAUGUUCUU